Molecule: transfer RNA, 66 nt
Filed under: Cavia porcellus (domestic guinea pig)
Lineage: Eukaryota; Metazoa; Chordata; Mammalia; Rodentia; Caviidae
Rfam family: tRNA
About the family: Transfer RNA (tRNA) molecules are approximately 80 nucleotides in length. Their secondary structure includes four short double-helical elements and three loops (D, anti-codon, and T loops).
Source: Rfam by way of RNAcentral
UGGGAUUUAGCUCAUUGGCACAGAGCACCUGCCUUGCAAGCAGGCAGCCGUGAAAAGAAGUACCAA